This is a long non-coding RNA of Pygoscelis adeliae (Adelie penguin), 316 nucleotides long. RefSeq lists it as uncharacterized. The record is from RefSeq and is a predicted model, not a curated record. The transcript has 3 exons. NCBI's taxonomy places the organism in Eukaryota, Metazoa, Chordata, Aves, Sphenisciformes, Spheniscidae.
CUUCAGCUACCUACACACCAACUGCCUGGAGCUCUCCAUCUACCUGGGCUGCGACAAGUUCCCCCACGAGAGCGAGCUGCAGCAGGAGUGGGAGAACAACAAGGAGUCGCUGCUCACCUUCAUGGAGCAGGUCCAUCGGGGCAUCAAGGGCUUGGUGACGGACCAGCAGGGAGAACCCAUCGCCAACGCCACCAUCGUUGUGGGGGGCAUCAACCACAAGAUCAAGACAGCCAGCGGCGGGGACUACUGGCGCAUCCUGAACCCGGGCGAGUACCGCGUCUCGGCCCCGGGCCGGGGGCACCAACCCCCCGCCCAG